CCUACGUGUGGCUGCAGUGGGGAAUAUUGGACAAUGGGCGAAAGCCUGAUCCAGCCAUGCCGCGUGUGUGAAGAAGGCCUUCGGGUUGUAAAGCACUUUCAGUGGGGAAGAAAGCCUUGGGGCUAAUACCCUCGAGGAAGGACAUCACCCACAGAAGAAGCACCGGCUAACUCCGUGCCAGCAGCCGCGGUAAUACGGAGGGUGCGAGCGUUAAUCGGAAUUACUGGGCGUAAAGGGCGCGUAGGCGGUCUGAUAAGCCGGUUGUGAAAGCCCCGGGCUCAACCUGGGAACGGCAUCCGGAACUGUCAGGCUAGAGUGCAGGAGAGGAAGGUAGAAUUCCCGGUGUAGCGGUGAAAUGCGUAGAGAUCGGGAGGAAUACCAGUGGCGAAGGCGGCCUUCUGGACUGACACUGACGCUGAGGUGCGAAAGCGUGGGUAGCAAACAGGAUUAGAUACCCCUGUAGUC
This 465-nucleotide ribosomal RNA is filed under the name Vreelandella stevensii. RNAcentral's name for it is "partial 16S ribosomal RNA". It matches the Rfam family "Bacterial small subunit ribosomal RNA", at positions 338 to 795 of the family's 1533-position model. Lineage: Bacteria; Pseudomonadati; Pseudomonadota; Gammaproteobacteria; Oceanospirillales; Halomonadaceae. The record is from RNAcentral.